GCAAGUCUGGUGCCAGCAGCCGCGGUAAUUCCAGCUCCAAUAGCCUAUAUCGGAGUUGCUGCGGUUAAAAAGCUCGUCGUUGGAUCUCGGAGGCGGCACGGUCGGGCGCGAUACGCUGCGGGUCCGACCGGCGAUUUCUCGGCCGUCCCUAACCAGCGCGCGGGGCGAGGUGGACUUCGCGGUCCUGCCUCGUUUUUCUCCUUCGCGGGAGAGAACCCGCCGCAUUUUCUGUCUACCUUGAAAAAAUUAGAGUGGUAAAGGCAGGCUAAAACCCCGAGCCUGAAUAUUUCGUGCAUGGAAUAAGCGGGGAUGCUCUUUUCCGGAGGGCGGUCCGACCGACUGGCGACGUCGCUUUCGCUGUCGGUUUCGCCGGAGAGCUAGGAUUCGAGAGGAACGGUGGGGGGCGAGCGUACCGGGCGGGGAGAGGUGAAAUUUUUGAUCCGCUCGAGACGACUCGAAGCGAAAGCGCUGGCCCACG
Molecule: ribosomal RNA, 478 nt
Filed under: Testudinalia testudinalis (plant limpet)
Lineage: Eukaryota; Metazoa; Mollusca; Gastropoda; Lottiidae
Description: SSU rRNA
Rfam family: Eukaryotic small subunit ribosomal RNA
Source: RNAcentral